This 27-nucleotide non-coding RNA is filed under the name Mus musculus (house mouse). Lineage: Eukaryota; Metazoa; Chordata; Mammalia; Rodentia; Muridae. The record is from RNAcentral.
UGCUGCAACGACAAAGGAACCUCCUUA